AUUUUUACAAAUGAGUUUAUCAUAACACAAUGAAACGAUUUCUACACAGAAGAGCCUGAUUUCUCGAAUGUAGCUUUAAAUCUCUGCUAUCGUCUUCCUCAUUUUCUUCUCCAAUUUCCCCCAAAUCUCAAACCCUAACAUUUUCUUCACUCACACAAUCAAAAUCUUUUCGUUUCAAAUUUCCCCAAAAUCUCAAACCCUUGAAAUUCUACUCGGCCCUCAGCAGUCACUCAUUAUUUGUUAUUCUCGCUUCUAUUUAGCACAGGAAAAGGCACCAACUGCCAAAAAGAAGUUCUCAACCAAAGAAGCCAAGCAGUGGAGAUUGCAUUCUACAACGCAUCAUGUAAAGAAGCUGAACAACGUAGUCCCGAUUCUAUACUUGAACCUGUGUUUGUAGAUGACCUCCAAGGCAUUGGUGGAAAAUCUUCCAGCUCCUUCCCGGAUUCACGCAGUAAUUUAUCCACCAGAACUUCUGGUUCAGCUGGGGUACAUUCCGAUAAAAUAAUCUUGAAAAGCUUUCUCACCUGACUACCUGUUUGGAUCACUGCGGCUUUUUUCUCAAGCUCAGAAAUGAAUCUGCACCUGCUACAACAGUCAGCAAUAAUCGAAGAUAGUACAAUUCUCCUACGUUAGGGCUAACAAAAUGGAUUCUCGCAAUAGUAAAGCCUUGUUGCCUGAUUUUCCAUCUUUUUUCCUGUUUAAGCCAAACAAAGUGUUGUGGGAAAUCUUGGGAGAUUCUGGAUUUCUAUCACCACAUGGUCCAUGUACCAUACACUUUCUAACCGUGUCGAAGAGAACUGGAUUUGUUUCCUCACUGGGAAAUUCUGCUGAAACAAAUUUAUCGACUUGCUCCACUAUAAUGCAUGAGACAGAUCAUAUAUGUAAAGCUGGGAGUACACAGGAUCAACUCCGUCCUUCGACGUCAGAGAUCCAUACGUAUGUCGUAAUUCACCAUGUAUAGAAAAGCACCAUGGACCUUUUCCUUUCGGGGCUCUUGUGUCAUAUUUGCAUCCGAGACUGGUAUAUGCGUUUGCUGCAUUAUAAUUUCUGAUAUUUUUACGGAAGUCUUUGGAACCUUCGAGUAAUUCUCUUAUAGCCGUUGGGGGUUCACGCAGUGGUGGUAAACGAAUUUUUCCUUUGUGACAACAUGUGACAAAUUUAGGUUGCUUGAGGGACGAAUCACUUGACUUCUCAUUGAUCCAAUGCAACGCUUUGCAAUUUGGGCAUUGAACAUCCAUUUUCCCCAGGAAAUUUCUUCCAUCGCGAUUAAUUCUACGUCUAGUUGUAUGUUUAUUAUUCGCUGUUGUAGUUAUUAUUUGCAUAUCAUCGUCACUUUUUUCAUCUGAUGAGUCGUAGUGAUCAGUGUAUUCAUCUGAUGAGUCUACUUCCGGAAUAGACCUAUUUAAACAUAAGAAUAAAAAUCAGUAAAUCACUAAUGCAAAUAUUACUAAACUUAGAGGUUAUAUUUUUCAA
Papaver somniferum (opium poppy) is the source of this 1473-nucleotide RNA transcript. RefSeq lists it as uncharacterized. The transcript has 7 exons. Lineage: Eukaryota; Viridiplantae; Streptophyta; Magnoliopsida; Ranunculales; Papaveraceae. The record is from RefSeq and is a predicted model, not a curated record.